Molecule: non-coding RNA, 83 nt
Organism: Coelomomyces lativittatus
Lineage: Eukaryota; Fungi; Blastocladiomycota; Blastocladiomycetes; Blastocladiales; Coelomomycetaceae
Source: the annotation of a GenBank genome assembly
GGCGGUGUGUCCGAGUGGUCCAAGGAGUCAGACUUGAAAUCUGAUAGGCUCAGCCUGCACAGGUUCGAACCCUGUCGCCGUCG